UCUCUGUUAGUAUAUCGGUUAGUACACGCGCUUGUCACUGUACUAGCCGCGCGAAAGCGGGGUUCGACUCCCCGACAGAGAG
This 82-nucleotide transfer RNA is filed under the name Ganoderma leucocontextum. Its description in RNAcentral is "tRNA-Asp". It matches the Rfam family "tRNA". Rfam says of the family: Transfer RNA (tRNA) molecules are approximately 80 nucleotides in length. The record is from RNAcentral. Lineage: Eukaryota; Fungi; Basidiomycota; Agaricomycetes; Polyporales; Polyporaceae.